ACAACGGCUCUUUUCAGAGCCACCCACUUCUCUCACUGAGAAAGAG
Molecule: non-coding RNA, 46 nt
Organism: Monodelphis domestica (gray short-tailed opossum)
Lineage: Eukaryota; Metazoa; Chordata; Mammalia; Didelphimorphia; Didelphidae
Source: Rfam